Molecule: long non-coding RNA, 1722 nt
Organism: Pipistrellus kuhlii (Kuhl's pipistrelle)
Lineage: Eukaryota; Metazoa; Chordata; Mammalia; Chiroptera; Vespertilionidae
Exons: 2
Source: RefSeq, a predicted model, not a curated record
GAAAGGAGAUGAAUCUACUAUAGUGUCCUUUUAUCCCAAGACCUCAGACACCAAGACAGACUGCAGUCCUGCGGGGAGAGGCUCCUCCUUGUGUCCAGGGCUUUCUGCACUGCAGAGCUUCAGGGAAUGCGCAGGGCAUGCUGGGAAAGCCCUGGCCCCUCUGACCCUUUGGGCCCACCCUCAUACUUUGCAGGCCUUUGAACCGUCCUUUAGAAACCAGCCCCCGAAUAAACCUUUAGAGGUCGCCUUCUGGUCCUGAGGCUUUUCGUAGAGAGCAGGAACUUGUUUUGCCCACAGAGGGCCAAUGCCUGGCCUGGAAUUCAGGUGUGGUGCUAUCCCACAUCACCAGUUAAGCCAUGCUAAUGUGACAAUGACUCACAAUUCUCUGCAGCACAGUUUUCCAAAGUAUGGGCCACAGGCCAAGUGCACCAAAUCAGCAGGUGAGCUUGAUAAAAAUGCAAAUUCCUGGCCCCCUGACACACCUCAAAGUUUAAAUGCAAUGACUCACAAAGUUACCAGCCCCGGAAUACACUCUGGAAACAGAAUGCUGUAGGUUUCCAGAGCAGUCUGUAGUUGGGGAAAGCUGGGGCCCUUGAGCAGACUUCCUGGAGCUUCGGAAAUCAUCCCCUGCAGGUAUUUCUGACCCUGCCUAUUUAUAGAGCCAACUUCCCCGGGGAACAUCUUAAAUGUUGUUGGAAUCAUCGCUGCAAAUGUCACAGGAGACCACUUCUGUGGGUCCCCGAUGAAACAGAGUGUUUGGGAAAGGAACAAGGGGAUUCAGCUGACUCAACUUGGAGGUGGCUCCCGUCCCUACGUUACUGUUCCAUUCCUACGGCUCCACCCUCCUGGGCUCAGUGUGAGCAGACAGGAGCACAGGAGACUAACACCGCCAAGUUCACAGUCACAGAGCUGCCCCCCUCCACUGGGCCAGAGGCAAAGAAAAAUCCCAACCUCUGCCUUGUAAUCAUCUGGUUUUAUUGAACCUGGACAGGAAGUGAAUUCCAAAGGCAGGAAAUGACCCAGAGACCAUAACAACAUGUGAAAAGCCAGGCCGGUGCUUCCGCCACUUUGUUUCAUACUAUUCUCAUCUGUGUCCCUGGAAGCCGAGCCCAUUACCAGAUGGAGAUCUGUUUGCAGCCGCCUCUUGGCAUCUGCCCCUCCCGGCUGGUGACAUUUGCACGUUUCAGAAGGCAAACCUGCGCCCACAUCUUCCAGCUUCCGGGGAGGUGCAGCCCCAGGGAAGUCCUUGGGUCUCUGGCUGAGGGCUCCCGCCAUCUGACCCGCUGCUGGCCUCCAGCCUGGAACACGAGCACGCCGUGUCUGUUCUUGAAGAUUUGCAGCAUCUGAAAUCAAAAGGCCCCGUGUUGCCAAAAAAGGCAGGCUCCCUCGCCUGCUUCUCAAUCCCUUCUCACCAGGCUUUCCUAACCCGAUGAGUCAGGAAGGAAAAAAAAAAAAAAAAUGUGUCUGAAGAUCUGGGGGUGGCCCCGUGUCUCUUCUUGCUUCUAAAAAUGUCCUCCCGUUUUUCCAAUGUGUGUCAUGGUUAGGGAUGCGGUUUGUACUGUUUCUCUGGUUCUUCCUCUGUCAGCUCUCGCUGGGAGAGACCCUCCAUUGACCACGCGUGACAUCAGCUCUGCAAAAGCAUGAGGCCCUCUGAUGAGGAAUCAGUCGCUCACUGUUGCAAAGGAGUUCUGACUUCACUUCUAUCCCCAGGAGCAAGGCAAG